UCGGCAAAGUUUCUAUUUCAGACAAUCGUUGAAGACCAGCAGGAAGCAACAAGGUAGAAAGUCUCAGCAUUUGAGGCCAACUUCCACUCUUCCAUUAAACUUGUGGACACAAAUCAGCAACAGGAACAUGAUAUUCUCAGAGUUCUAAUCAGAUUGAUAGAGUUCGUUUACUGUUUCAAGAAAAUUAGCAAAACAGGAAGUGGGCCAAGAGGAUACCUGCUUUGCUUAGGCCUUAGGACUUGCCUUGUGUUAACUGUCGGCAAAGGACACCAGUCACGUUCUUAACUGUUGUCCGGGUUCGGCCGUGGAGGGAAGCGGGUGAGUGAGGUGAAAAAAACGUUUUCCU
This 346-nucleotide long non-coding RNA is filed under the name Populus trichocarpa (black cottonwood). RNAcentral describes it as "long non-coding RNA (PTRI_LNC000663)". Lineage: Eukaryota; Viridiplantae; Streptophyta; Magnoliopsida; Malpighiales; Salicaceae. The record is from RNAcentral.